GUGUGCGUUUCUAUGAACGUGAUGCGCAUCAUGUAGCUGAGGAGAACGACCUCCACGCACUGCACUCCUUGACCCUGCCACUCUGCACCGCGACACUCCGCUGCAUUCCAGGACGUGGCCAGCAGGCUGCCGUCGGUGUUGAAGGACAUGCAGAGGAUGACGUCUGAGUGGCAGUCAAUCAUCUUCACCGGCUCGCCGAUCUCCAGGUUCCAGAUCAGGAUCUGGCGAUGCCACAUCCUCACAGCGCCAUAUGAGCCAGGAGUCUGGAGGAAAGGCUGAGGAGAUAGUCACGCCUGAAUGGAUGACUGUAAACUUACUAUGAAAUUUUGUAUUGUAGACUACAUUAGUGGUGGUAAAAGUGCAGUAUGUAGCACAGCAGUGCACACACACACACACACACACACACACACACACACUCACACAC
Molecule: long non-coding RNA, 424 nt
Organism: Conger conger (European conger)
Lineage: Eukaryota; Metazoa; Chordata; Actinopteri; Anguilliformes; Congridae
Exons: 4
Source: RefSeq, a predicted model, not a curated record